UACAGAGGUCCCAAGCGUUGUUCGGAUUCAUUGGGCGUAAAGGGUGCGUAGGUGGCGUCGUAAGUCGGGUGUGAAAUCUCGGGGCUUAACUCCGAAACUGCAUUCGAUACUGCGGUGCUUGAGGACUGGAGAGGAGACUGGAAUUUACGGUGUAGCAGUGAAAUGCGUAGAUAUCGUAAGGAAGACCAGUGGCGAAGGCGGGUCUCUGGACAGUUCCUGACGCUGAGGCACGAAGGCCAGGGGAGCAAACGGG
This 253-nucleotide ribosomal RNA is filed under the name uncultured bacterium. RNAcentral's name for it is "partial 16S ribosomal RNA". It matches the Rfam family "Bacterial small subunit ribosomal RNA", at positions 524 to 776 of the family's 1533-position model. The record is from RNAcentral.